AGCUGCGGUGUACAUAUUUUCAGAUUAAUGAAGCUUAUAGCCCUCCAAUGCAGUAUCUGUAUGCUUUACAAAACUAUCCGAGUAUUGCAAAAUUGCAUGAUACAUCAAAUUGGAGCGUAGCCUACAUACUUAUGGACUGUGGACUUAUGUUGCUUAUUUAGAGGCUGCCGUACAUGGAUCAGGUAUGAUAUUGAUUGCAGAAAUUUCUAUACGACUCUUGCGGAUUUCAACCUUGUUCUUCUCCCUAAUUUAGGAAAACUACAAGUAUUUGGUGCAUGAUAUAAAAUAGCUGCAGGCUAAUCCUCCCCUAAUGUCCAUAAUGUUCUAUGGUACACAAUAUGGGUAAAGGAGAGCACAUUGCUCUAAUGUUUUUGCAUAUGAUAUUAAAUCAGACAUUUCAGUGGAUAAUAUAUGGUAUUGACUUGGACAUUGGUGUUGUGGAACAAUCUAGCAGGUAUUGGAUCUUAUAGAAUUAUAGAGUUGGCGGGGUCUGAAAAUCAUGGUGUUGGUGUUUUAGCCUAUUAAUCUGUAGAUAAAGAAAGUCCGUACAUCUCUACAAAUAAUCCUGAAGAAAGUUCUACUAUUGCGAACGCUCCAACUGAAUAAGAAAUAUGAUUUUUUUUAAUUGAAGAAGAAGCCAAUUUCUCGAGAAGGAAUACAGAAUAAUAUUUUGGAUUAUUUACUUGAGGUAUUUCCAUGACUUCAUUCUUUAUUUUCUCAUCCCUCAUUAUUGGUACUAUAUAAUGGCAAUUUGGGACGUUGCAACAUAAAGUUUGGGCAAACAUAUGUUGCUUAUUAGAUGGCCAUUUAGGAUGGAUCCGUGAUAAAUUGUGCAUUAUAAGUUGAUAUUUCUGAAUUUACUCUCUUUUAGCUCUGCUAGGAGUGGGAUUAAUCUUUAUUUUUAUUGAUUACUCCUUUUUAGUACAACCAAUAUUUUACUGAAUAAAAACUGUAACUCUAUUACUGAAGUGGUAGUUAGUGGAGUACAUAAUUGCACCACUGUACGACAGUGACCAUAACUCUAGAUUAUACGUAGGAUUGCAUCUUCACUGAAGUAGAGAUAUUUAGUCAUUUUCCGAUGUGAAUUAAGAUGACCAUAACUCUCACGUCGUAGUUAUGGUACCACCUCCUGUGUCAUUAAAGGAUACUUGUGUGAUUUACUAGCUGUUUUAGGUACCUCCUACAGUCCUACUUACUCGUGUGAUUUACUUGUCGUUUUAUAUAAGCAUGAUGCUCGUAUGUUUUGAUAUUUAUCGCUUUGCGUCAUAUGUGAAACAAGUAAUUUAAAUGAUUCCACCUAUUGUAAUUGCAUACUAGGUCUCAAAUUCAUCGCAUCAACCGUGAGGGGUAGUAUGCAAGGAUCAACCGAUGUGGAUAACAAAAUCUGGGUGCGAGCUUCCGGGAAAUCUAAUUGGGUCUAUGCAAACAAGCAGAUUUGGAAGAUAAUUCCUGUACAUGUAUGACUAUACGAACUCUUCUUCCCUCCAGGCAAUAGAGUUUAGCUUCAGUAAGCAAGUGCUAAGAUAACUUGCAUUCAUAACUCUGCUGCUGAUCAAGUCAAGUGUCUGUAUUUGGUGUUCAGGUUGAUUUGGAAAAUCUUUGACAGUAGCUGUGGGUCUUAUACUGAUGACAAUCAACAUGUCUUUUCCGACCAACCAGGGGUCGAUUCCAACAUAUGUUUUGUCCAUAUUUGAAGCCCAUUUUCUACUCAUUGAUCUGCUUCACUCCUCCACAAGGUGCGAUAUUAUUAUACCCCUGUUCCGUCCUACUGCGCACACGCAAUUGUGGUGAUCAGAAUGGAAUUAUAUUCGUGAUUCAUGAUCUCCACAUCGAAGGAACCGAAUGGAAACAAUAGCAUGACAAAACAAAUGAAUUUCUACCUAUAUUUCUACACAUUGUCCAGCCCCUUGUCUAGCUUGUUGAUUUUUAUUAGUUUCAGUUUCUCACUAGGUUCUCUUGAGCGAUGAGUCAUACUGGAUGUUCAAGGACACAGAAGGCUUCAUGAACCACAUUCUCUUGCUGAACUUUUUUUGGCAUCAUAACAACGAUUCCCAUGAUCUUUCUAUGGUAAAACCUUCAGUCUUGUUAAUCCCGUUAUCUUGAGUUAUGAUGGUAUAUGAAUUUUUUUUCCAUUGGAGCAACAAUGUCAUUCUUUUUUAGCCUGCAACUGUGAUGUUUCCAUUCAAGUUACUGAUUGCUGGAAUGCGGUUAUUUGAAGGCAUCUUAUGAUCUGGUCAUAACUAGCCAAAGCUCUGCAAUAUUAGUGUGUAAUCAUAUCCUCUUUCUCUCUGCUUGUGGGUAGUGCUUUACUGAUGGACGGUGUUGGCGCGUUUAGGGCAUAAUGACCUGAGCGGUAGAUCGUACGGUGAACAACGUCGACGGCAGCGCUAGAGCGCGGUGAGGCUGGUUGAGGUUUUCUCUAUGCUUCUUUUAAUUACCACAUGUAAUUUUAUUUGAGAUCUUUUCAUGGUUGCGCUGCUAAUUAAUAAUCUUAAUGAUGUAAUGUAAUUCGCAUAAUAU
This 2520-nucleotide long non-coding RNA is filed under the name Triticum aestivum (bread wheat). RNAcentral describes it as "long non-coding RNA (TAES_LNC002714)". The record is from RNAcentral. Lineage: Eukaryota; Viridiplantae; Streptophyta; Magnoliopsida; Poales; Poaceae.